UAAAAGCUUGGUCCUGACUUUAGCGUCAGUUGUAGCCCAAUUUACACAUGCAAGUUUCCGCAGCCCUGUGAGAAUGCCCUCUACCCCCGAAAGGGAAAGAGGAGCGGGCAUCAGGCACACACAAGUAGCCCAAAACGCCUUGCUUAGCCACCCCCCCAAGGGAAAUCAGCAGUGAUAGACAUUAAGCCAUAAGCGAAAGCUUGACUUAGUUAGGGCUAAGAGGGCCGGUAAAACUCGUGCCAGCCGCCGCGGUUAUACGAGGGGCCCGAAUAGACGCUCCAUCGGCGUAAAGUGUGACUAGAGAGGCAUACAAACUAGGGCUAAAGGUUCCUUAUGCUGUCAUACGCUAAUGGGACGCACGAAAUCCAACUACGAAAGUGGCUCUAAAACACUUGAACUCACGACAGCUAGACUACAAACUGGGAUUAGAUACCCCACUAUGCCUGACUUUAAACUAUGGUAAGAGACUUACAAACUCCGCCCGCCAGGGGACUACGAGCAUUAGCUUAAAACCCAAAGGACUUGGCGGUGCCUCACACCCCACUAGAGGAGCCUGUUCUAGAACCGAUAAUCCUCGUUAAACCUCACCCCUCCUUGCCAAUCCCGCCUAUAUACCGCCGUCGCCAGUUUACAUUAUGAAAUAACAGAAGUAAGCGAGAGGGGCACCACCCAAAACGUCAGGUCGAGGUGUAGCGAAUGGAGGGGGAAGAAAUGGGCUACAUUUUCUGGCACAGAACACAACGGACAAUGCAAUGAAACAUGCACAAUUGAAGGUGGAUUUAGCAGUAAAAAAGAAGAAGAGAGUCUUUUUGAAGCCGGCUCUGAGGCGCGUACACACCGCCCGUCACUCUCCUCGAAAAAACAGCCUACAUAAAUAAUAACUUAAACAAAUAAAGAGGAGGCAAGUCGUAACAUGGUAAGUGUACCGGAAGGUGCACUUGGAAAAAU
RNAcentral lists this non-coding RNA (948 nucleotides) under Scuticaria tigrina (spotted snake moray). Its description in RNAcentral is "12S ribosomal RNA". It matches the Rfam family "Bacterial small subunit ribosomal RNA". Lineage: Eukaryota; Metazoa; Chordata; Actinopteri; Anguilliformes; Muraenidae. The record is from RNAcentral.